This 501-nucleotide ribosomal RNA is filed under the name uncultured bacterium. Its description in RNAcentral is "partial 16S ribosomal RNA". It matches the Rfam family "Bacterial small subunit ribosomal RNA", at positions 30 to 523 of the family's 1533-position model. The record is from RNAcentral.
AUUGAACGCUGGCGGCAUGCCUUACACAUGCAAGUCGAACGGCAGCACGGGUGCUUGCACCUGGUGGCGAGUGGCGAACGGGUGAGUAAUACAUCGGAACGUACCUUAUCGUGGGGGAUAACGCAGCGAAAGCUGUGCUAAUACCGCAUACGCCCUGAGGGGGAAAGCGGGGGAUCGCAAGACCUCGCGCGAUUAGAGCGGCCGAUGCCUGAUUAGCUUGUUGGUGGGGUAAAGGCCCACCAAGGCGACGAUCAGUAGCUGGUCUGAGAGGACGAUCAGCCACACUGGGACUGAGACACGGCCCAGAUUCCUACGGGAGGCAGCAGUGGGGAAUUUUGGACAAUGGGGGCAACCCUGAUCCAGCAAUGCCGCGUGAGUGAAGAAGGCCUUCGGGUUGUAAAGCUCUUUUGUCAGGGAAGAAACACCGGCUCUAACACAGUCCGGGAAUGACGGUACCUGAAGAAUAAGCACCGGCUAACUACGUGCCAGCCGCCGCAGUAA